RNAcentral lists this ribosomal RNA (885 nucleotides) under uncultured Candidatus Saccharibacteria bacterium. Its description in RNAcentral is "bacterial SSU rRNA". It matches the Rfam family "Bacterial small subunit ribosomal RNA", at positions 571 to 1482 of the family's 1533-position model. Lineage: Bacteria; Candidatus Saccharimonadota. The record is from RNAcentral.
GUAGGCGGUUAAGUAAGUAGUGUGUGAAAUGAUGAGGCUCAACCUCAUGCCCAUACACUAAACUGCUUUGACUAGAGAAUGGAAGAGGUCGCUGGAAUUCCUGGUGUAGGGGUGAAAUCCGUAGAUAUCAGGAGGAACACCGAUGGCGUAGGCAGGCGACUGGUCCAUUUCUGACGCUGAGACACGAAAGCGUGGGGAGCGAUCGGGAUUAGAUACCCCGGUAGUCCACGCCGUAAACGAUGGAUGCUAGCUGUGCGGAGUAUCGACCCUCUGCGUAGCAAAGCUAACGCGUUAAGCAUCCCGCCUGUGGAGUACGAGCGCAAGCUUAAAACAUAAAGGAAUUGACGGGGACCCGCACAAGCGGUGGAGCGUGUUGUUUAAUUCGAUGGUAAGCGAAGAACCUUACCCAGGCUUGACAUCCUGCCAAGGUCUCCGAAAGGGGACUGUGCCUUCGGGCCGCAGUGACAGGUGCUGCAUGGCCGUCGUCAGCUCGUGUCGUGAGAUGUUUGGUUAAGUCCAUCAACGAGCGCAACCCUUAUAGUUAGUUGGAUUUUUCUAGCUAGACUGCCUCGGCAACGGGGAGGAAGGAGGGGAUGACGUCAGGUCAGUAUUGCCCUUACGCCUGGGGCUACAAACACGCUACAAUGGCCGGUACAAAGGGCUGCCAACCCGCGAGGGGGAGCAAAUCCCAUCAAAGCCGGUCUCAGUUCGGAUAGCAGGCUGAAACUCGCCUGCUUGAAGCUGGAAUCGCUAGUAACGGUAGGUCAGCACACUACCGUGAAUACGUUCCCGGGUCUUGUACACACCGCCCGUCAAGCCACGAAAGUCGCCAAUAUCCAACGUCCUAGCUUGUCUAGGCCUAAGGUAGGGGUGAUGAUUGGGGUU